This 492-nucleotide ribosomal RNA is filed under the name uncultured bacterium. RNAcentral describes it as "partial 16S ribosomal RNA". It matches the Rfam family "Bacterial small subunit ribosomal RNA", at positions 29 to 507 of the family's 1533-position model. The record is from RNAcentral.
AGUGAACGCUGGCGGUAGGCCUAACACAUGCAAGUCGAACGGCAGCACAGUAAGAGCUUGCUCUUACGGGUGGCGAGUGGCGGACGGGUGAGGAAUAUAUCGGAAUCUACUUUUUCGUGGGGGAUAACGUAGGGAAACUUAAGAUAAUACAGCAUACGACCUACGGGUGAAAGCAGGGGAUCUUCGGACCUUGUGCGAUUGAAUGAGCCGAUGUCGGAUUAGCUAGUUGGCGGGGUAAAGGCCCACCAAGGCGACGAUCCGUAGCUGGUCUGAGAGGAUGAUCAGCCACAUGGGAACUUGAACACGGUCCAUACUCCUACGGGAGGCAGCAGUGGGGAAUAUUGGACAAUGGGCGCAAGCCUGAUCCAGCCAUACCGCGUGGGUGAAGAAGGCCUUCGGGUUGUAAAGCCCUUUUGUUGGUAAAGAAAAGCAGCAGGUUAAUACCCCGCUGUUCUGACGGUACCCAAAGAAUAAGCACCGGCUAACUUCGUG